Molecule: non-coding RNA, 138 nt
Organism: Ornithorhynchus anatinus (platypus)
Lineage: Eukaryota; Metazoa; Chordata; Mammalia; Monotremata; Ornithorhynchidae
Source: Rfam
CCCCUCCCAGGGUCACACCUGGAGAGUUUCGAGUACUCUACCAGUCUCGACUAUGAAAGGAAGAAUCAAGCAGAGGCCUGUCCAUUCCAUUCCUAGCUUGGGCAGUGGUUAGCGAGUGGAAGACAAUCUGCUACUAGU